RNAcentral lists this long non-coding RNA (358 nucleotides) under Zea mays. Its description in RNAcentral is "long non-coding RNA (ZMAY_LNC003601)". The record is from RNAcentral. Lineage: Eukaryota; Viridiplantae; Streptophyta; Magnoliopsida; Poales; Poaceae.
ACGAAAACAGAAACUUCAACAGCAGUAAAACCAUUGAAAGAUCCCCAGCACGGGAAUUGAAUUUCCAUGUCCCAUCUUCUUCGUGUACUUGAUCAGUAGUAGCCUCAGCAUACUGGCAAUGAAAGGUUUGUGGGUGGGAUUUAGAGGUAAGUUGCUUCACAGGAACUUUUCUUUAUGAGGUUCUUAUUAUGUCAUUCUUGUUUUUGUAAUGACUACUUGAAAUUGGUUUCAUUUAGGGUCGUAUACUCAUUUCUGUAAUUUCCAAAACAUCAGGAAACAAUGCACUACUUUACAGAAGGGAAAAUCCUCUCUCCUUGAGAUGCUCUUUUCGCUCCUUGAAAGCAAGAAAUAACCGUUC